RNAcentral lists this ribosomal RNA (253 nucleotides) under uncultured bacterium. RNAcentral describes it as "partial 16S ribosomal RNA". It matches the Rfam family "Bacterial small subunit ribosomal RNA", at positions 524 to 776 of the family's 1533-position model. The record is from RNAcentral.
UACGAAGGGGGCAAGCGUUGUCCGGAAUUAUUGGGCGUAAAGCGCGCGCAGGCGGCUAGUUAAGUCAGAUGUGAAAGGCUGCGGCUCAACCGCAGAGCUGCAUCUGAAACUGAUUAGCUUGAGUGCAGGAGAGGAUAGUGGAAUUCCCGGUGUAGCGGUGGAAUGCGUAGAGAUCGGGAGGAACACCUGUGGCGAAGGCGACUGUCUGGACUGUAACUGGCGCUGAGGCGCGAAAGCGUGGGGAGCAAACAGG